Pteronotus mesoamericanus is the source of this 75-nucleotide small nucleolar RNA. RefSeq annotates it as small nucleolar RNA SNORD24. The transcript has a single exon. Lineage: Eukaryota; Metazoa; Chordata; Mammalia; Chiroptera; Mormoopidae. The record is from RefSeq and is a predicted model, not a curated record.
UGCAGAUGAUGUGAGAAAAUAUUUGCUAUCUGAGUGGUGGUGCAGACCUCCCUGACCACCAACAUUGCUGAUGUA